Molecule: ribosomal RNA, 846 nt
Filed under: Triticum aestivum (bread wheat)
Lineage: Eukaryota; Viridiplantae; Streptophyta; Magnoliopsida; Poales; Poaceae
Description: partial small subunit ribosomal RNA
Source: RNAcentral
AUGUGGUAUGCUCCUAUAAUACCACGGUUGAAACGUCUGUUCAGAAACGAAGAGCAUGCCAAGUUGAUGCGAUGGCACAGUGAGGACCGUAAGAAAGACGGGAAGUUGAGAGCACCCGCUGACGGGUCGCAGUGGAGAAAAAUCGAGAGAAAGUACUGGGCUGAGUUUGCAGCUGACCCAAGGAACGUAUGGUUUGGUUUAAGCGCGGAUGGCAUUAAUCCUUUCGGGGAGCAGAGCAGCAAUCACAACACCUGGCCCGUGACUCUAUGUAUGUAUAACCUUCCUCCUUGGAUGUGCAUGAAGCGGAAGUUCAUUAUGAUGCCAGUUCUCAUCCAAGGCCCUAAGCAACCCGGCAACGACAUUGAUGUGUACCUAAGGCCAUUAGUUGAAGAACUUUUACAGCUGUGGAAUGGAAACGGUGUACGUACGUGGGAUGAGCACAAACAGGAGGAAUUUAACCUGCACGCGUUGCUGUUUGUAACCAUCAACGAUUGGCCCGCUCUCAGUAACCUUUCAGGACAGACAAACAAGGGAUACCACGCAUGCACGCACUGUUUAGAUGACACUGAAAGUAUAUACUUGGACAAAUGCAGGAAGAAUGUGUACCUGGGCCAUCAUCGAUUUCUUCCGACCAACCAUCAAUGUCGAAAGAAAGGCAAGCAUUUCAAAGGCGAGGCAGAUCACCGGAAGAAGCCCGCCAUGCGUACCGGUGAUCACGUACUUGCUAUGGUCAAUGAUUUACACGUAAUCUUUGGAAAGGGUCCCGGCGGACUAGCUGUUCCGAAUGACGCUGAGGGACACGCACCCAUGUGGAAGAAGAAAUCUAUAUUUUGGGACCUACCCUAG